UAGCUGGAAGGCCUUCCCAGGAAUGCAAGUCUGAACCAUCUAGAGUUCUCUCAGCCAGAAUGAAGGCUCAGCUCUUGGAUGUUUCUACCAUAAAAAUGAGAAAGCAUUUCCUACCUCCUCCUCUGUCACUCCACAAAGAUGUGCUUCCUGUGUGGCUGGCUAGCAGAUAAGAGAAGGGCGCCCUUGGCGCCGCCUGCACCCCACGCGCCCCCUCCGCUCCCCGGCCGACGGCCCACCUGGGCUUCGUGAACAGUGGGAGGGAGAGUCUGGGGCCAGGAGAGGGACGGUGCAGGAUCAGGGAAAGGUCCAGAAAAGUCUAAGAUCAAGAUGCAGAUAGGAUUGGAAUCCUCAGAGGUCUCCUUGGCUUGCAGAUGGCUGCACCCUUGCUAAGUCCUCACACGUUCUUUCCUCUGCACAGGACCGUGUGCUAACUCCUCAUCAAAGACCAGAAGUAGAUCCUGAAUUGUAUUCAUUCUCAUCUCUUUCUACCUCCUCCAAGACAGAAGGACAUGAUUAACUUCUUUAUCUCAAUGUCAGCCUUCAAUAGCUACAAAAGUCUAAACUGUAAAUAGCGUUGAAGCUUUGCAUAAUAAAAUUCUUUUCCCCAGUGAUGGGCAGUUUUUCACAUAGUAACUGGAAAUCAGAAGUACAUGCAAUAGGAAUUAACUUGAAUAUGAUGCAUAAAGUUUGAAGCAAAGGAAGAUCUGCUGAGCAUGCCUGAGCUGAGAAAUGAGGGAAGGCAGACAUAUGUAUGAGCGCCUAUGCAGAGAGGUGAGUAGAUGUGGUUGCGGGGAGCUUGUGGAAAGUCUU
This 810-nucleotide long non-coding RNA is filed under the name Homo sapiens (human). Its description in RNAcentral is "HSALNT0272158". The record is from RNAcentral. Lineage: Eukaryota; Metazoa; Chordata; Mammalia; Primates; Hominidae.